UGUUGGAAAACACCCAAAGAUUGUUGGAAAAUACACAAAAAUCCACCAGGCAAAUUGACAUCUUUUGCCUUGUCAAUUUCCCUAACAUUGGGUUACUUCCCAUGCCCUCAGUCUUCUCCUGAGGCCAGGCUCUGAUACUGCUCAAUUAAGGUAGAAAGAAAUCAAUCCUGGAGGUGACCUAUGAAAUCCAUACAAUAAAUAGUCAACUCUCAUUCAGUCAUGCUGGAAGUUUCUAACAUCCGUCUAGGAGAAAUUUUAGAUUAGUCCGGUUAGUAAAAUGGACUUUCCCACUCUAAAACACGGAUCUUAAAACCUGUCCUCUUGUUUUCAUAUGAUUUUUUUUUUCCCCCAAAAUCAAGCCCUUUUCAUUAAGCUCUUUUAUGAAAACAGAAUGUGGAAAUGAACGUAAGUUAUUAGGUGAGCUGAAUUUCUCACGGCCUGCUUCCUCAUUCUUUUCAGCACUUGACCCUAUACAUCUCAUCCAAACAGCCUAUUUAAUGAGCUGUUACCUUGAUGACACAGUAAAUAGAACACUUAUUAAGUGCAGUCUCCUCACUUGCGAUAAAAACGAACUUCUCAGUAGCUGCACACCCUUUCCAGACCUUCAUGUUCUUCAGUACUGAUGUGCCUUUCAGAAAUACCGGAGCGCUUUGCCUGUGGGCACGCUCUCUGACCCACGUGGCGUCCAUGUGUUUAAGUCGAGGGUGGGAAAGAAUACACGUCUUGAUCACGGAAACCUUUAUAUAGUCAACUCUAAAUUAUUUUUGCUGAUCGAAGUAUAUAAGGUGAGCUCUCGAAACAUUUGCUGCAUGUGUCCCUGCAGAAGUGCUAGGUUCUUUAGAAUGUGGGAGACACCUCUCUAGGCAGACUUUGGGGGAACUAUCAGCACCCCAGCAGACAUUUGCUUGCCAUCUGUGAAACUGUGCUGUCCGUCUCUGGAAAAGGAGUUUGAUGUGAAGUAGUUCUUAAAUAGUUUAUGUAAACUACCAUGUUAUUUUUAUUUUCUUUUUACCUGUUUGCAUUUAAUUUAGUCACAGACUUGUGUCUGGGGGGGGGGUGUCUUAAAGAUAACAAAGGCCUUCUAUGAAAAUAAUAAAUUAUCUUUAUAGAGUUUAUAUAGAGAGAUAAGAGACAGAGGGAGACACAGAAUCCGAAGCAGGCUCCAGGCUCUGAGCUGUCAGCACAGAGCCCGAAGCAGGGCUCAAGCCCCCGGGCCGUGAGAUC
Herpailurus yagouaroundi (jaguarundi) is the source of this 1224-nucleotide long non-coding RNA. RefSeq lists it as uncharacterized. The transcript is spliced from 3 exons. The record is from RefSeq and is a predicted model, not a curated record. NCBI's taxonomy places the organism in Eukaryota, Metazoa, Chordata, Mammalia, Carnivora, Felidae.